This 468-nucleotide ribosomal RNA is filed under the name uncultured bacterium. RNAcentral's name for it is "partial 16S ribosomal RNA". It matches the Rfam family "Bacterial small subunit ribosomal RNA", at positions 28 to 507 of the family's 1533-position model. The record is from RNAcentral.
GACGAACGCUGGCGGCGUGCUUAACACAUGCAAGUCGAACGGAAAGGCCCUGCUUUUGUGGGGUGCUCGAGUGGCGAACGGGUGAGUAACACGUGAGUAACCUGCCCUUGACUUUGGGAUAACUUCAGGAAACUGGGGCUAAUACCGGAUAGGAGCUCCUGCUGCAUGGUGGGGGUUGGAAAGUUUCGGCGGUUGGGGAUGGACUCGCGGCUUAUCAGCUUGUUGGUGGGGUAGUGGCUUACCAAGGCUUUGACGGGUAGCCGGCCUGAGAGGGUGACCGGCCACAAUGGGAAUGAGAUACGGCCCAGACUCCUACGGGAGGCAGCAGUGGGGAAUAUUGAAAAAUGGGCGGAAGCCUGAUGCAGCAACGCCGCGUGCGGGAUGACGGCCUUCGGGUUGUAAACCGCUUUCGCCUGUGACGAAGCGUGAGUGACGGUAAUGGGUAAAGAAGCACCGGCUAACUACGUG